Molecule: ribosomal RNA, 1553 nt
Filed under: Bacillus subtilis
Lineage: Bacteria; Bacillati; Bacillota; Bacilli; Caryophanales; Bacillaceae
Description: bacterial SSU rRNA
Rfam family: Bacterial small subunit ribosomal RNA
Source: RNAcentral
UUAUCGGAGAGUUUGAUCCUGGCUCAGGACGAACGCUGGCGGCGUGCCUAAUACAUGCAAGUCGAGCGGACAGAUGGGAGCUUGCUCCCUGAUGUUAGCGGCGGACGGGUGAGUAACACGUGGGUAACCUGCCUGUAAGACUGGGAUAACUCCGGGAAACCGGGGCUAAUACCGGAUGGUUGUUUGAACCGCAUGGUUCAAACAUAAAAGGUGGCUUCGGCUACCACUUACAGAUGGACCCGCGGCGCAUUAGCUAGUUGGUGAGGUAACGGCUCACCAAGGCAACGAUGCGUAGCCGACCUGAGAGGGUGAUCGACCACACUGGGACUGAGACACGAGUACCAGACUCCUACGGGAGGCAGCAGUAGGGAAUCUUCCGCAAUGGACGAAAGUCUGACGGAGCAACGCCGCGUGAGUGAUGAAGGUUUUCGGAUCGUAAAGCUCUGUUGUUAGGGAAGAACAAGUACCGUUCGAAUAGGGCGGUACCUUGACGGUACCUAACCAGAAAGCCACGGCUAACUACGUGCCAGCAGCCGCGGUAAUACGUAGGUGGCAAGCGUUGUCCGGAAUUAUUGGGCGUAAAGGGCUCGCAGGCGGUUUCUUAAGUCUGAUGUGAAAGCCCCCGGCUCAACCGGGGAGGGUCAUUGGAAACUGGGGAACUUGAGUGCAGAAGAGGAGAGUGGAAUUCCACGUGUAGCGGUGAAAUGCGUAGAGAUGUGGAGGAACACCAGUGGCGAAGGCGACUCUCUGGUCUGUAACUGACGCUGAGGAGCGAAAGCGUGGGGAGCGAACAGGAUUAGAUACCCUGGUAGUCCACGCCGUAAACGAUGAGUGCUAAGUGUUAGGGGGUUUCCGCCCCUUAGUGCUGCAGCUAACGCAUUAAGCACUCCGCCUGGGGAGUACGGUCGCAAGACUGAAACUCAAAGGAAUUGACGGGGGCCCGCACAAGCGGUGGAGCAUGUGGUUUAAUUCGAAGCAACGCGAAGAACCUUACCAGGUCUUGACAUCCUCUGACAAUCCUAGAGAUAGGACGUCCCCUUCGGGGGCAGAGUGACAGGUGGUGCAUGGUUGUCGUCAGCUCGUGUCGUGAGAUGUUGGGUUAAGUCCCGCAACGAGCGCAACCCUUGAUCUUAGUUGCCAGCAUUCAGUUGGGCACUCUAAGGUGACUGCCGGUGACAAACCGGAGGAAGGUGGGGAUGACGUCAAAUCAUCAUGCCCCUUAUGACCUGGGCUACACACGUGCUACAAUGGACAGAACAAAGGGCAGCGAAACCGCGAGGUUAAGCCAAUCCCACAAAUCUGUUCUCAGUUCGGAUCGCAGUCUGCAACUCGACUGCGUGAAGCUGGAAUCGCUAGUAAUCGCGGAUCAGCAUGCCGCGGUGAAUACGUUCCCGGCUCCUUGUACACACCGCCCGUCACACCACGAGAGUUUGUAACACCCGAAGUCGGUGAGGUAACCUUUUAGGAGCCAGCCGCCGAAGGUGGGACAGAUGAUUGGGGUGAAGUCGUAACAAGGUAGCCGUAUCGGAAGGUGCGGCUGGAUCACCUCCUUU